GAUAAACAUGUGAAGAACUUAAGCUGAAACAUGGAUAUUACAAUUCAAAGGGGGAAUUUACUUCCAGAAAUCCAGAAAUGUCAUAAAUGCUGCAGUGAUUUUCACUGCCCAUUCUGUGACCCCAUAUAUUUCAAACCCACAAAGUUGUCCAAAGUUCAAAAACAUCUCAAGGGACACUUCAACAGAGCAGUGCAACAUGAAGGGUACACCAUACAUCGAUGCGGUCGCCCCUGCGGAACCCAGCAACAUUAUCAUUGCUUGUACUGUCAGUCAACAAUUUUAAGAAAGCCAUAUUUCAUUACACAUUUAGGUUCCUGCAAAUGUAAGAGCGUUAAGAGAGCAAGUGCCACUGAUGCCUGUAACAUCACACCCACUGCUGUGGCAACUGCUGUUGCACAAGCUACUGCCAUUGCUGUUCCAGCUACCACAGCCAUCGCUGCCACCUACUGUUAUGCCGCCCUUUUCUGCCAUCUCUGUGCCGCCCACUGCUGCGCCUUCUACCACAGCCACUGCUGCCACCUCUGUGCCAACCAGCACUAGAAAACAGUAUGACCUUUAACUGGGCAUUUCUUUCAGGUUGACAUGCCCAUGAUUAGAAAAUGGU
Long non-coding RNA from Xyrauchen texanus (razorback sucker), 604 nucleotides. RefSeq lists it as uncharacterized. Lineage: Eukaryota; Metazoa; Chordata; Actinopteri; Cypriniformes; Catostomidae. The record is from RefSeq and is a predicted model, not a curated record. The transcript has 3 exons.